Molecule: ribosomal RNA, 433 nt
Filed under: uncultured bacterium
Lineage: Bacteria
Description: partial 16S ribosomal RNA
Rfam family: Bacterial small subunit ribosomal RNA
Source: RNAcentral
AACGAACGCUGGCGGCAUGCCUAACACAUGCAAGUCGAACGAAAACUUCGGGUCUUGUGGCGCACGGGUGCGUAACGCGUGGGAACCUGCCCUUAGGUUCGGAAUAACUCCCCGACAGGGGUGCUAAUACCGGAUAAUGUCUUCGGACCAAAGAUUUAUCGCCUUUGGAUGGGCCCGCGUUGGAUUAGCUAGUUGGUAGGGUAAAAGCCUACCAAGGCGACGAUCCAUAGCUGGUCUGAGAGGAUGAUCAGCCACACUGGGACUGAGACACGGCCCAGACUCCUACGGGAGGCAGCAGUGGGGAAUAGUGGACCAUGGGCGAAAGCCUGAUCCAGCAAUGCCGCGUGAGUGAUGAAGGCCUUAGGGUUGUAAAGCUCUUUUACCCGGGAUGAUAAUGACAGUACCGGGAGAAUAAGCUCCGGCUAACUCCGUG